UAAGUACUCUCUGUUAGGAUGA
RNAcentral lists this microRNA (22 nucleotides) under Sarcophilus harrisii (Tasmanian devil). Its description in RNAcentral is "Sha-Mir-430-o21_3p (mature (guide))". Lineage: Eukaryota; Metazoa; Chordata; Mammalia; Dasyuromorphia; Dasyuridae. The record is from RNAcentral.